This is a long non-coding RNA of Hypanus sabinus (Atlantic stingray), 7299 nucleotides long. RefSeq lists it as uncharacterized. Lineage: Eukaryota; Metazoa; Chordata; Chondrichthyes; Myliobatiformes; Dasyatidae. The record is from RefSeq and is a predicted model, not a curated record. The transcript is spliced from 3 exons.
CAGAGCAAAGAAAAUUAUCUCUAGUGAUGCUCUUUAAGUCACUGUGCUCCCUCUGUUACUAAGUUUGCUGAUGCUCAAUAUGGUACACACACUGUCUGUAUCAAUAAAAUCGCACUUCUUUUAGCUAUGUCCCAACCACGGUCAGUCCAUUCCACUGAAUACCAUCCCUGCGUCACAGUACCAUCGUGGUCAGUGCAACGCUUCACAACACCAGUAAUCAGCGAUCAGGAUCUGAUCCUGCGAGGAGUUUGUUCCUGCCUGUAACGAGUUUGUACCUCUCCCCAUGAUCGCCUGGCUUCCUCUGGCUACUCCGGUUUCCUCCCGCCGUCUGAGGGUUAGGGUUACUAACGGUAUGCUGGCGCGGGAAGCGUGGUGACACUUGCGGGCUGCCCUCGGCACAUCCUCAGACUGUGCUGGUUGUUGAUGCGGACCAACACGGUCCGAAGCUGUUGGUUGUUUCAUGUACAGAACUGUGCAAAAGUCUUGGGCUCAGGGUGCCUGAGAUUUUUGCAAAAUGCUGCAGUAAGUUUAUGUAUUGCACUGUACUGCUGCAAAACAAAAGAACAAAUUUCAUGACAUUUGUGAGUGAUGAUAAACCGGAUUCCGAUCUGGGUCUCUAAUGUGGACUGAGAGUGGGAAGGGGGCAGGGAGAGGGAAUCAUGGUUGGGAAAAGGGGAAGGCCUCCAGUUCAGACUACAUUCUCAUGAGUUGUUUCUAUACCUUUUCUAGUUUAAUUACCAUAAGACCAUAAGAUAUUGCAGCAGAAUAAGGCCAUUUGGCCCAUCAAGGCCAAUCCAUUUUUCAUCUUCACCCCAAAAUCCUGCCUUCUCCCCGAACCCGUUCAUGCCCUGACCAAUCAAGAACCUAUCAAUCUGCCUUAAACACACAUAAAGACUUGGCCUCCACAGCUGCCUGUGGCAACAAAUUCCAUAGAUUCACCACUCUCUGGCUAAAGAAAUUCUUUCUCAUCUUCGUUUUAAAGGGAUGCCCAUCUAUUCUGAGGCUGUGUCCUCUGGUCAAAAUCAAAUCAAAUUUAAUUGUCAUUCAACCCAUCCAUGGGCACAGCUGAAUGAGACAGCGUUCCUCUGGGGCUGAGGUGCAAUAACAUACACGCGCAUUCAAAAUAAUAAGAAAGGUGAAAAAAAAACAUAAUAACGUGAGAACAAAUUUUUAAUCCAGGUCCCUCAGUGACAAGUCCCGCAAAUUGAUGGUUCCAGCCAUCCUGCCUGUAAUUCCAGUGAUCCAACACUGGAGGGCAGCACUGAUGUGCGAGGCCAACCCGACCAUGCCCGGAUGCCACGCUAUAAUCCAACCCCAAUGACUGAGGCCUCAUCCUAGCUACAACUGAGGCGACACUGCUGUCUCAUUGCCUGCCCCACUCCCAAACAAGUCUCUCCCACCAUAGGAAGCGUUCUCUCCACAUUUACUCUGUCAAGACCUUUCACCAGUCGAUAGGUUUCAAUUAGGUCCCACCUCAUUCUUCUUAAUUCUAUUGAGUACAAACUCAGGGCCAUCAAACUCUCUUCAUGUGACAAUCUGUUCAAUCCAGGAAUAAUUUUUGUGAACAGUUUCACCACAUCCUUUCUAAGACAAGGGGCCCAGAACUGCUCACAAUACUCCAAGUGAGGCCCCACCGGUGCCUUAUAAAGUCUCAACAUCCUUGCUUUCAUGUCCUAGUCCCCUUUAAAUGAAUGCUAACCUUGCACUUGCCUUCCUCACCACAGAUUCAACCUGCAAAUUAACCUUUAGGGAAUCUUGCAUAGGAACUCCCAAGUCACUUUGCAACUCAAGAGUUUUGAAUUUUCUCUCCAUUUAGGAAAUAGUCUACCCUUUCAUUUCAUCUACAAAAGUGCAUGACCAUAUAAUUCCCGACACUGUAUUCCACCUGGCAAUUCUUUUCCCAUUCUCCUAAUCUGUCCAAGUCCUUCUGUAGCCUCUCUACUUCCUCAAAACUAUCUACCUAUUUUCAUAUCAUCUGCAAAAUUUGCAACAAAGUCAUCUAUUCUGUCAUCCAAAUUAUUGACAUAUAAUGUAAAAGAAUCCCAACAGAUUUGCCAGGCAAGAUUUUCCCUUGAGCAAACCAUGCUGACUUUGGCCUAUUUUAUCAUGUGCCUCCAAGUACCCCGAAACCACAUGCUUAACAAUCGACACCAACAUCUUCUCAAUCACUGAGACCAGACUAACUGACCUAUAACUUCCUUUCUUCUGUCUCUCUCCCUCCUUGAAAAGUGGAGUGACAUUUACAAUCUUCCAGUCUUCUGAACUAUUCCAGGAUAUAAUGCCUGUACAAUCUCUUCAGCCACCUCUUUCAGAACCCUGGGGUGUACACCACCUGGUCCAGGUGACUUAACUACCUUCAGACCUUUCGAUUUCCCAAGAACCUUCUCUCUAGUUAUGGAAACUUCACACACUUCAUGAUCCCUGACACCUGGAACUUCCACCACACUGAUAGUGUCUUCCACAGUGAAGACAGUCGCAAAAUAUUUAUUCAAAUCUUCCACUAUUUCUUUGUGCCCCAUUACUACCACUCCAGCAUCAUUUUCCUGUGGUCCGAUAUCCACUCCUGCCUCUCUUUUACACGAUGUAUCUGAAGAAACUUCUGGCAUCUUCAUCCUUUCUGUAGCAGGGAUAUAGCAUCCUUCCAAUUGCAAAAUGGUCAGAUCUGCACAAACCACAGCAGUGUGGUCUAAUCAACAAGUUCAUCGUGAAUAUGCAAGAUUGGAACAUGCAAAUUAAUCACAAAUAUGCAAAUACACUUUCAGCACCCAACUGUAAGUCACUAUAUUCUGACAUGUAGUGGUUUUAGCAGGUGCCCCUGGGACCGUUCUCUAAACACUUCCUUACAGACAGAUAAAAAUAUUGGCCGUUUCUACACUCUGCUAAUGAUCUAACCCUGCUUGCUUAACCCCAUUUAUUGGUGGCUGGCAGAGUAGUGUAGCAGUUAGUGCAACCGCUUUACAACACCAGCGAUCACCAAUAAGGGUUAGAUUCCCGGAUGGUGCGCAAGGGACCGCGUGGGUUUCCUCCAACAUAGCAAAGACGUACAGUUAGGGUUAGUGUGUCGAGGGUGUGGUGUGUUGGUGCUGGAGACCUGGCGACACUUGUGGGCUGCCCCCACAACAAUCUGCAGACUGUGCUGGUCAUUGAUGCAAAUGAUGCAUUUCACUGUAAGUUUUAUGUACACGUGAUUAAAUAAAGAUAAUCUUUAAUAUAUCUCUUCACUCUCAGAUACAGUUUCAGAUGUACUUAUCAUGUGUACGUGAUAACAUACAUUGAAAAGUGUUUCUGCAUCAGUGAGUUGGACUACGCCCUAUCAGUGCGCGGAGAAUUCCAUUCAGAAUUCACUCAGGCAUGCAGUCUGAAGCUGAAACAAAAGUGUCAUUUCACCUACUAUCCUCAGCCACAAGAUACUGUCUAUGCCCUCUGUUACUUCUGACACCUUCAGUGCAGCCAACUGUUCCAUUACCUUACAGAACAGUCGAGCACAGGGAUAGGCCCUUCUGUCACCAGGGUUAAGACUUACACGGUGAAUAAUACUUUGAUGUGUGCCAAAGAACAAAAGAACCUGUAAAUACAGAUCCAUAAUUCCUUGAAAGCGGCAACACAGACAGAUGGGUUUGUGAAUGCCAUGGUAGCAGUGCAGUUAGCGCGAUACCAUCAUAGCUCAGAGUGUUCCGGAGUUCAGAGUUUAAUUCCGCCUCCAUUUAAUUCUCACUGUGACCACGUGGGUUUCCUCCUGGUGCUCUGGUGUCAUCCCACAGUCCAGAGGUGGCUGGUAGGGUCAUUGUAUAUUGUCCUGUGAUCAGGCUAGUGUUAAAUAGUUGGGUAGCUGGGCGGUCACUCUAAAGUUCAAAGUACGUUUAUUAUCAAAGUGUGUAUACUAUAUACAAGUUUAAUAUUUGUCUCCUUACAGGCAGCCACAAAACAAAGAAACCCAAUAAAAACCCCUUAGAAAAAAGACAGACAUCCAAUGUGCAAUAAAAUGAACAAAUCAUACGAACGAUAAAAAGUAAACAAAUAACAUUCAGAACUAAAAUUCAGGAAAGUAGAUCAGCCACAGAGCCAGUUCAUUGCUGCAGCCACUGCCUCAUUUCAGCUUACAGACGAGUAAACCUCAGGGUGCAAUGAGCUAACACCGGCCCACCCCUCACCACCGGUCCCGACACCCUGACCUCUUCAAUCAAAUAAAAAGGACUUUUGGCACGUUGGCCUUCAUAAAUCAUGACAUUGAGUAUAGGAGUUGGGAUGCUACGUUGAAAUUGUACAAAAAUUGGUGAGGCCGAAUUUAAAGUACUACAUGCAAUUCUGGUCACUUACCUAAAGGAAAUAUUUCAAUAGACUUGAAAGAAUACAGAGCAAAUUUACAAGGAUGUUGCCUGGACUUGAGGACUUUAGCUGUAGGGAAAGGUUAAAUAGGUUGGGACUUCCGGUAAAUUGUCAGCUUGUUUGAACGCACUGGCCAACCAAAGGUCAGUUUUCCUUUUGUCUUAUGGUUUUAUGAGUGAUCUGUUUGAUGUUCGGAACUGCUGACCAGGCUAUUGAAGGAGCCGGUAGACGAGUCAGAUAAAGAGAAGCUGGUGCUUGACUGGGUGAAGGAGAGAGGGUGGUCGGCCAGGAGAAGGAGUGGUUGGUGAUGGGUUGGGAGGUGCCAGUCAGCUGGGAGAAAGAGUGGUUGGCAGGUGGAAGGUGCGGAGGAACUAACCUGAGUGCAGACCAUGCUGCUGCCAGCUAUUUGAAAACACCAGAGUUGGUGCCCACAAGCAGCGUGCAGUGUAGCUGUGACUGAUCGCAAGACCCUGUUGGACACUAACAUUGGGAGAUGUCGCAGGCCUGCUUCCCUUCUCUGGUGGAGAGAGAAAGGAGACGAGGCAGCAGUGUGGUUUUGAUUGUAGUGAGGUCAAGGCCUCAAGCGGGCUUGCAUUCUGCUGCAGACCAGGUGAGACGACACUAGUGUGGAAUCUGUGCUCAGUUGGGAGCUGGCCUGUCCUGUCAGUGCUGCCCUCCUGUGUUGGACAGGUGGAAGGACAGGCCGGAUUGUACCCUCAGUUGGCAUGUUGCUCAGAGACUUGGACUAAUCAUGUGAUUUCUUUGUAACAAAUGACGUGUGUGUGUUUUUCUUUUCUCUCUCACUAUUUUGAAUGUACGUUAUGCACCUGGGCCCCAGAGGAAUGCUGCCUUGUUCGACUGUAUCCACGUAUCCAGGAAACCUAACAAAUCUGAUACAGUUCUUCGAGGAAGUAACAAGCAGGGUGGACAAAGGAGAGACAGUGGAUGUCUUUUACUUGGAUUUUCAGAAGGCAUUUGUUGCAAGGUGCAACACACGAGGCUUCUUAACAAGAUAAAAUCCCAUGGCAUUACAGGAAAGAUACUGGCAUGGAUACUGGAAUGGCUGACAGGCAGGAGGCAUUGAGCGGGAAUAAAGGGGGCCUCUUCCAGUUGGCUGAUGGUGACUAGUGGUGUUCCUCAAGGGUCAGUAUUGGGACCGCUACUUUUCACAUUGUUUGUCAAUGAUCUGGAUAAUGGAUUUGAUGGCUGUGUGGUGGAUGAUACAAAGGAAUGUGUUAAGACUGGCAUUUGAUGCCUGUUCCCAAGGAUCUACAUCUAGUGUGGUGAAGGUGCUUUCAGUGUCAUUAGAUCGGGGUUCUAGGAUUUUGUCCAGUAACAGUGAAAGAGCAGAGCUGCAGUCCCAGUUGUGUAGGUGUGUGAUGUGGAGAGGAAGCCGUGGGAGCACUCAACAUGCUAAUAUACGAAGGUCUCCUGUCCCCCCCCCACCCCUGACCACAUCAAAUCCCUAAUAGAUGUAAAUGUAUAUGGAGAAUAAAGUUGAUCGUUCCAUCCUUUUGAGGGCGUGCAGCAUCGUCAGAAACACUGUUCGAAUGAGGUACCAAACUCAGCUUCUGUCUGGCAGAUCAAGUAAAUGUUGUGAAUCCCCGGCACAACUUGAAGCUGCAGUGGGAUUUUUCUCACCGUGCUUGCCCACAUCCUUCCUUUGUACACCCAUGCAGAAAUCAGAAAGAUACGGUGAAACCUUUUAACUUACACAACGCUUAAAAUGAACUGACCUUGGUUUGCUGUUCUAUUUUGUAGGAGGUCUGCUGGAAUUGUCUGAUUUCUCGGAUUAUGUGAGAUAUCUGUAAAAGUAAGCAGAAAUUGAAAUGGGUUCCACAACAUACAGUAUUUAUAGAGCAGUCAGAACAAACAGUCAGAGCCAAACAAAAAUAUAAGUACACAUAAAUAGCUUGUGUACAAUAGCAUCUGCAGAAGGGAAAGGGCUGUUUGAUGUAGUUUACCUCUAUGUACAAGACAUGUUAUCAAUUAUACAACAUAGAACAUUACAGCUCAGUAAGGCCCUUCGGCCCACAAUGUUAUGCUGACCUUUUAACCUGCUCCAAAAUCAAUCUAACACUUUCCUCCUACAUUGCCUUCCAUUUUUCCAUCAUCUAUGUGUCUGUCUACAAGUCUCUCAAAUGUCCCUGAUCUAUCUGUCUCUAUCAUCACCCCAGCAGGGCAUUCCACAUACUCACCAUUCUCUGUGUUAAAAACUUACCUCUGACAUCCUACCCAAUAUUUUCCACCAUUCACCUUAAAAUUAUGCCCUCAUGUUUGAGCCAUUUCUGCCCUGGGAAAAAGGCAUGGGCUGUCCACUUUAUCUUUAAUACUUAUCACUUUACCAAUGAUCUACUAUUCCAUCAAGUUUGGACCCUCUUGAACUUCUUUUUCCUCCUCAGUAGUCCCUUGGGAUUGAGGACACCUUACUUUCACUCCACUUCUAAGGUGACCAAUGAGUUCUCACUGAGACUAGCCAAGGUUGGUUUUCUAAUGAUUUUCGCUGUUCUUUGAGAUUUUUGUGCAACAACAGAGAGUAAUAGACUUAGCCAGCUCUAUUGAGGGCACUAGCCUCCCCACCAUUGAGGUUAUCUUUAAAAGGUGAUGCCUCAAAAAGGCACUGUCCAUCAUUAAAGAGAUUGACCACCCAAGAAAUGCCCUCUUCUCGUUACUGCCAUCAGGGAGGAGGUACAGGAGCCCGACAACAUACCCUCAACAUUUUAGGAACAGCUCCUUCCCCUCUGCCAUCAGAUUUCUAAAUGGACAUUGAACACUACCGCACUAUUUUUGCACUACUUUAUUUUAAUAUAUUUCUUAUUGUAAGUCACGAUAUUAUUUUAACAUACAGCACUGUACUGCUGCCAGAAAACAAAAAAAAAUUACAACAUACAUCAGAGUAGUUUUUCAUUGAUUCUAUGUAUCUUUUUGUUCUACUGUGAAUACCCACAAGAAAAUGAUUCUCAAAUUGUAUAU